RNA transcript from Malania oleifera, 7343 nucleotides. It is a transcript of the gene named protein REDUCED CHLOROPLAST COVERAGE 2, with no coding region annotated. Lineage: Eukaryota; Viridiplantae; Streptophyta; Magnoliopsida; Santalales; Ximeniaceae. The record is from RefSeq and is a predicted model, not a curated record. The transcript has 24 exons.
AUGGGGUGUUUUCGAGUUUUGGGGGAGGAAAGAAAUGAGAGGCCUGAAAUCGUUAGCCUUACACCCUGUGAACUGGUACAAGAAGGUGCGUGCUUCGGGUUUACCUUAUCCUAUCUCCCUAUCUAUCUAUCUAUCGAUAAAACUCUAUCUACCUUCCUUCCCUCUUUCCUCCUUCCUCUAUAUCCUAUCCUUCGUCUGCCCUUCCUACCUUUCCCUGUCCACCCCCCUUAACUUCCCUUAAUUGUCUGAGUAAAGUAGCUCAAGAACACACUACUUCAAUUCUCCCCCUUGUUAUAUUCAUGUUGAACUCUGCCCUCGAAUUUCCCACGGUGUUUAUUGUCCCUUUCCCCGUUUCUGCCAUGUGACUGCAAUAUUCCCACAGUUCCCUUCCCAUUUCCAGUCAAUAAUCCUCCAUUCGAUCUCUCGCUUUAAUUAUUCACUUCGCCUAUAUUUAAUCCCGCUUUCAUCGUAUAGUGCGUGUUCAUAUUAUUCACAUUGUUAAUACCUGCUGUUUGCUUGCUGUCUUCUUAAUAUAUCUGUAUUCUGCAGAGCUUGGGAUUUCAGCGGAUUCCGGCCAUUCCUCUUGUGAUAUUUUCUUUCAGAAUCGUUUUGGAUAGGACAGUAAUUGAGCUUGGGUGCAUCUGUUUCAUUCAAAAGCAUUGGAAGAACCAGCCGGUGAUCGAGCUAGCUACCACUGUAUCAAGCUUCAAUCAAAUCCAAUCGUUUUUGUUUGAUGCGCAAUGGCUCCAAAAACAGGGAAGACAAAACCCCACAAAGGCAAGGGAGAAAAGAAGAAAAAGGAAGAGAAAGUGCUGCCGAACGUAGUCGAGAUUACCGUGGAAACGCCGGACGAGUGUCAAGUGACUCUCAAGGGCAUAUCUACGGACAAGAUCUUAGAUGUUAGGAAACUUUUAGCCGUCCACGUCGAGACUUGUCAUUUGACCAAUUACUCCUUCUCCCACGAGGUAAAAGGAGCUAGGCUGAAGGAUUCUGUCGACAUCGUCUCUCUCAAACCUUGCCACCUCUCCAUCGAACAAGAGGACUACACUGAAGAGCUCGCCGUCGCCCACGUGCGGCGCCUUCUCGACAUCGUCGCCUGCACCACCUCCUUCGGACCGUCCAAACCCGGCGGCCGAACCGGCCCGAAAGAGUCGGGUCUUAAAGAACCCGGUUCUGUUUCCAACGACGGCGAUGCAUCGUUGCAGUCUGCGUCGGAUAAUGGGGGUGAACCAGGUUCAAAGUCUAAAGCUGGGGAGAAGAAAGCGGGUUCAGCCAUCGGUGGAGUCCAGAAGGGGGGUCAUGGAGUCAAGAAUGGCAAGGACGCCGCCGUCUCCGGGGAUUCUCUGGCCAAGGAGGCGACGCUGGAGAAAGGGGACACGGCGCCGCCCAUGUGCCCUCCGCCGAAGCUCGGCCAAUUCUACGACUUCUUCUCCUUUUCGCAUCUUACGCCGCCGCUCCACUAUAUUCGGAGAUCCACUCGCCCGUUUCUUGAGGAUAAAACAGUCGAUGAUUUUUUUAAAAUUGAUACUCGAGUUUGUAGUGGGAAGCCAAUGACAAUUGUUGCUUCCCUAAAAGGGUUCUAUCCUGCAGGAAAGCAUCUUCUUCUGAGUCACUCUUUGGUUUGUCUGCUGCAGCAAAUAAGCAGACCCUUUGACGCUGCAUACAAAGCUCUCACGAAAGCUUUCACAGAGCACAAUAAGUUUGGAAAUCUUCCUUAUGGUUUUCGCGCAAAUACAUGGGUUGUUCCUCCAGUUAUUGCUGAUAAUCCAUCUCUGUUUCCACCACUUCCUGUGGAAGAUGAAAAUUGGGGAGGAAAUGGUGGGGGACAGGGAAGAGAUGGGAAACACGAUCACAGGCAGUGGGCGAAGGAGUUUGCAGUUCUGGCUGCAAUGCCUUGUAAAACAGCAGAAGAGAGGCAAAUUCGAGACCGGAAGGCCUUCCUGCUUCACAGUUUAUUUGUCGACGUUUCAGUCUUUAAAGCUGUUGCAGCUAUCAAGGAUCUCAUCGAUAAUAACCAUUGCUCUCCCAAUGGUUGCUGCACUUCAUCAAUUUUACAUGAAGAAAGAGUUGGAGAUUUACUAAUCAGAGUGAUGAGAGAUGUGCCUGAUGCAAGCAAGAAAUUGGAUAGUAAAAAUGAUGGGUGUCAGGUUCUUGGAAUGUCGGAGGAGGAGCUUGCUCGGAGAAAUUUACUUAAAGGCAUUACUGCAGACGAGAGUGCAACUGUUCAUGACACAUCCACUUUAGGUGUUGUGGUUGUUAGACACUGUGGUUACGCAGCUGUUGUGAAAGUUGCAACCGUGGUAGAUUGGGAGGGGAAUUCCAUUCCCAAAGACAUUGAUAUUGAGGAUCAGCACGAGGGAGGGGCCAAUGCCUUGAAUGUUAAUAGCUUGAGAAUGCUACUGCACAAGUCAUCCUCUCAAUCAUCUGGCUCUCUUCCGCGAUUACAGAGUUCAGAUUUUGAAGAUUUACGUUCUGCUAGGUCUUUGGUUCGAGAAGUGCUUGGGGAAAGUUUGCUGAAGUUGCAGGGAGAAGAUGCUAAACAGGCAAGAUCUAUCAGAUGGGAACUAGGAGCAUGCUGGGUGCAACAUUUGCAAAAUCAGGCUUCAGGAAAAGCUGAGACUAAGAAAACUGAGGAAACUAAGGUUGAGCCUGCUGUUAAGGGUCUUGGAAAGCAAGGUGGACUGCUAAAGGAAAUUAAGAAGAAAAUAGCUGACAGAAGCUGCAAGACUGAGCAGGGAAAGGAGGUUGCUGUGGGUAAAAGCCUUGAAAUGAAUAAGAAGUCAGAUUCAAGUAAUCAGAAGGAACUAGAGAUACAAGAUGAGGAAAAGGGAAUGAUGUGGAGGAAGCUGCUUCCUGAAGCAGCAUAUUUGCGACUUAAAGAAUCAGAAACUGGUCUUCACCUUAAGUCACCCGAUGAGUUGAUUGACAUGGCACAUAAAUAUUAUGCCGAUAUUGCACUUCCUAAACUGGUUGCAGAUUUUGGCUCCCUUGAGCUUUCCCCUGUUGAUGGAAGGACGUUGACAGAUUUUAUGCAUACCAGGGGCUUGAAAAUGUGUUCCUUGGGACAUGUGGUUGAACUUGCUGACAAGCUCCCUCAUGUGCAAUCACUCUGUGUACUUGAGAUGGUUGUUCGAGCCUAUAAACACGUACUGCAAGCAGUUGUAUCAGCAGUUGAUAACUUGUCAGAUUUGGCUGUGUCAAUAGCAUCAUGUUUAAAUGUAUUGUUAGGAACACCAUCAACCAAAAAUGGUGAUGAAGACAUUGCUAAUGAUGAUAAUUUGAAAUGCAAAUGGGUGGAAACCUUUCUUUUGAAGAGGUUUGGGUGGCAAUGGAAGCAUGAAAGCUGCCAGGAUAUGAGAAAAUUUGCAAUCCUUCGUGGGCUUUGCCAUAAGGUUGGACUCGAGCUUGUUCCAAGGGACUAUGAUAUGGGCACUGCAUAUCCAUUUAGGAAAUCAGAUGUUAUAAGCAUGUUUCCUGUGUUUAAGCAUGUAGCAUGUUCAUCUGCGGAUGGGCGUACGCUACUAGAAUCAUCAAAAACUUCAUUGGAUAAAGGAAAAUUGGAGGAUGCUGUAAACUAUGGCACAAAGGCACUCUCAAAACUCGUGGCAGUAUGUGGCCCUUAUCAUCGAAUGACUGCUGGAGCCUAUAGUCUUUUGGCUGUUGUUCUUUAUCACACCGGGGAUUUUAAUCAGGCGACCAUCUAUCAGCAAAAGGCUCUGGAUAUCAAUGAAAGGGAGCUUGGCCUUGAUCAUCCUGAUACAAUGAAAAGCUAUGGGGAUCUAGCUGUUUUCUACUAUCGACUUCAACAUACUGAGUUAGCCUUGAAGUACGUGAAUCGCGCAUUGUAUCUCCUGCAUCUGACAUGUGGGCCUUCGCAUCCAAAUACUGCUGCCACCUAUAUAAAUGUAGCAAUGAUGGAAGAAGGUUUGGGGAAUGUUCAUGUUGCACUUAGAUAUCUUCAUGAAGCUCUCAAGUGUAACCAGAGACUGCUCGGGGCAGAUCAUAUACAGACUGCUGCAAGCUAUCAUGCUAUAGCAAUUGCUCUCUCUUUGAUGGAAGCAUACACCCUAAGUGUUCAGCAUGAACAAACCACGCUACAGAUACUGCAGGCUAAACUUGGAUCAGAUGAUCUACGCACACAGGAUGCAGCUGCAUGGCUUGAGUACUUUGAGUCCAAGGCUUUAGAGCAGCAAGAAGCUGCACGCAAUGGUACUCCAAAGCCUGAUGCCUCUAUCUCCAGUAAAGGUCAUUUGAGUGUAUCAGAUCUCUUGGAUUAUAUAACCCCCCACUCAGACAUCAAAGUGAGAGAUGCCCAAAAGAAGCAAGCACGUGCAAAGGUUAAAGGGAAACCAAGCCAAAGCUGGGAAACUGAUGACUAUGAACAUCAGAAGGAUGAAAAUUUAUCACCAAGUCAUCCUGCUACAGAGAGUUCGAGUGAUAAAGAAAACAAAUCAGAUGAUCAGUUUGCAGUAUCCAUGGAUGGGAAAACUGAUUCAAGUAUCGUGGAUCAACCACUAUUGAACAAAAACAAUGAUAUUCCACAGUAUGAUACCUCCGAUGAAGGUUGGCAAGAAGCUGUUCCUAAAAGUCGCUCACCUGCAGCUCGCAAAUCUUCUGGUUCUAGUAGGCCUAGCCUAGCAAAAUUGAACACUAACUUUAUGAACGUAUCCCAGUCAUCAAGAUAUCGAGGAAAACCCUCCAAUUUUGCAUCCCCAAGAACAACAAAUGAGACUGCUGCUUCUACUGGAUCUCCUCUUCCUGUUCAAAAGAAAUUUGUCAAGAGUGCAAGCUUCAGUCCAAAGGUUAAAAAUCCUGCCACUUUUGCUGCUGGGGCAGAAAAAGUUGCCAACCCAAAGUCUGCCCCACCUAGCCCAGCUUCAACUGAUCAAGCUGCCAAGGCUACUCCUGCGGCUAGUUCCAUCAGUGUUCAGGUAGCUGGAAAACUUUUUUCCUAUAAAGAAGUUGCACUAGCCCCGCCUGGGACAAUUGUCAAGGCAGUGGCUGAACAAUUACCAAAGGGAAAUAUUCCAAUUGAACAAAAUCUGCAAGUGAGCAAGGAGAUGGUUGUGACGGAGGCAACCCAGGGUGAGGCAACAGCAGUAAAGGAUGUGGAAGUGGAAAAGGUUCAGAAAGUUGUGGAAGAGAAGCAGAUUCCAGUUUCUGAGAAUGAAAUGAGAAGCAAUGUCAAUGGAGAAUAUGAAACAAAAGUGGAGGAUUCUGCGGUUACUCAGACUUCAGAGGAAGUAAAGCAAGAUAGUAUGAAUGUUGCCAAUAAAGACCAAUAUGUAGAUGCUGGAAAGAUUUCAAUUGUUGAAAGCACAGAAAUUGAAACUGGAAGUGUUGUUGUAUCGGGAUUUGAGAGUUCUGAAGUGUUGGAAACAGAAUUGUUAGUUGAAUGCUCUGCAGAUUCCCCUGACUUGGAUCAUCUAUCUGUUUUAAAUGAAGAUGCAAAUAUUUUGCUGGAAAAACAUUCCUCUGUUUCCACAGAAAAAGUGGCAAAUGGAGAAGAAGAUUCACGUGAUCUAUGUGCUGAUAAUGGAAGUAUGAAGCCUUUGUCAACUGAAGUUGAAAGGCAAGAUGAAACUGGAACUGGGAAAGAGGCUAAGAAACUUUCUGCCGCUGCACCCCCAUUCAAUCCAUCUACAAUACCAGUUUUUGGCUCAGUUCCUAUUCCUGGAUUUAAAGAUCAUGGAGGAAUUUUACCCCCACCAGCGAAUAUUCCACCGAUGCUUACACUGAGUUCUGUCCGUAGAUCACCUCAUCAGUCAGCAACUGCAAGGGUUCCAUAUGGUCCGAGGCUGUCCGGCAGUUAUAACAGAUCUGGAAGUCGUGUUCCACAUAACAAGCCCAGCUUUCACUCUGGUGAACAUGCUAGUGACGGGGGUCACUUCAGCCCUCCUAGAAUAAUGAACCCGCAUGCAGCUGAGUUUGUACCUGGUCAACCAUGGGCUUCGAAUGGCUAUCCAGUAUCUCCAAAUGGCUAUUUGGCUUCCCCGAAUGGCAUUCCUAUGCCACCAAAUGUUUUCUCCACAUCCCCAAAUGGCACUCAAGUGUCACCCAAUGAUCAUCCAUCAUCCCUGGAUACUAUUUCAUUGACGCAAAAUGGGUUUCCAGCAUGUCCAGUCAGUUCAGUGGAUUGUCCUACACUUUUAUUAAAUGAGGUUGGUGAUGAAAACAAAACAGCAAAGGCUGAAGAGAAUCCUGAGGAGUUUUCAACUGAACCGGCAGGUGAAAACCAGCCAAUUGGGCAAAACACAGACAAAUGCCAAUCCAUAGACAAUGAAAAAAUUAUUUGUGAAGAGAAUCCUGAGGAGUUUUCAACCAAACCGGCAGGUGAAAACCAGCCAAUUGGGAAAAACACAGACAAAUGCCAAUCCAUAGACAAUGAAAAAAGUAUUUGUGAAGAGAAUCCUGAGGAGUUUUCAACCAAACUGGCAGGUGAAAACCAGCCAAUUGGGCAAAGCACAGAUGAAUGUCAAUCCAUAGACAAUGAAAAUAUUAUUUGUGGAGUUGAAGAAAGGGCUGAGGAUGCAAAAACAAUUCCUGAAACUGAAGAAAAGCCUGAGGAUGGUGUUGCAGCAUCUGAGGCUGGAGAUGUUGUGGGAGAAGAAAAUCAUGAGAAAAUAAUAGUUGGGGACAAACCAACAAAGUGUGAGCAGCCAACCAAGUGUUGGGGAGAUUACAGUGAUAGUGAAGCUGAGAUUGUUGAGGUUGCAAGCUGAAUGGGGAUAAUGAAUUAAGAAGUCAUCUGUUCAACUUGACAGUUGUAAAGUCACAAGUGAGAUGACUGUGGCAAUAACUGAUGCUUACAAAUAGAAGGAAAAUGAUUGGAUGAAAGCAUUGGAAAAUUUCGCGGUGGAAUCAACAGUGGAUCACAGAUUUCUGAUACAGUUUUGAUUUUUGUUGCAGCAAGAGAACUGUUAAUGUAGAUUCUUUGUUAAUAGGCUGGCAUGUGGAAGAGAUUUGCCAUGACAGUGGAAGGAUCUGCUGAGUAGGUUCAUCGGCCAUUUGAAUCUUUCUACUUUAAUUUUGGUUACCUGGCAAAUGAUGAGUGCGUGGAAGUCUUUUGUUUUAUAUUAUUUUAUUAUAUUUUUUGGCAGACAAUGCAUGAAGGUUGUGUCUAAAGCUCUGCUACAGCAAAUGCCCAGCCACAAUGAAAAACAUGUUCAAGCCCCUCUUUGUCUCUCAUAUGCACCUACCAAGUUCUGCAGAUUUUGUACCAGGUGGCUGGUUUGCUUUCUCUUAAGUUGGUUUUCCAAAUUAAAUCCUGCAGUAUAGCCUUGUUGUUCAAUUUGAGCUACCAAAUGGGGCUUAGCCAUAUCAUUGAAUGGAGUUUUGCCAAA